AACUUAUGAUUGAUUUUUUCUUGAGUUUUAGGAGUCUUUGAGUACAAUUUAAUUACCUAAACUAACUUUAGUUGGUGAAUUUGAGGAUUUGUAACUCAAGGAAAAUACCCAAUCAAGAAUUUGAUCAAGAAUGAUCAGAAAAGAUGAAAGUGGAGCUAAAAAUAAGAAAAGAGAAGAUUGAGAAGAUACAACAAUCUUGCCUAUGUUUAGUUUUCGCGGAGCCAUUUCUGAUUGAAGAAGAUGCUUGAAUUUGGCUAAGUGUGACGAAAAGCAAGUCUGUUUCACACCAGGAAAUGAGAUAAUUUUGCUCCACGAAAAUUAUCUAAAGCAUGAAGACACAGGACUGAAGAAUGAAAAGAAGAAACACGUGAAGACAAAAUUCAAUUCGUCUCCACGAAAUUAGAGCAGAAGGAUAAUUUUGUCUUGAGUUCUAACCAUCUAUAAAUAGAAAUUAGUUCAUUUCUUAAAGUAGCAUGGAAUAUUUUUGAGUCUUAGAGCAGUCAUUGAACAUUGGAAGGAUUUAAAGGUUUUCAUCAUAGAGUUUGUAUUUUAUCUUUAUUUAAUCUUUAGUAUGUUUAUUAUUGCAUUUCAUCUUGUAUUUUCUUU
This 606-nucleotide long non-coding RNA is filed under the name Capsicum annuum. RNAcentral describes it as "long non-coding RNA (CANN_LNC014582)". The record is from RNAcentral. Lineage: Eukaryota; Viridiplantae; Streptophyta; Magnoliopsida; Solanales; Solanaceae.